UUCUGGGAGUCCCCCUUGUUAUAGGGCAACAGAAAUGAGCUACUUAUUUUUCUUCCUUUCUCUUGUCUCUUCUCUCCCAUGUGUCCUCUCUGCUGUGCAGCUGGUUGAGUCUGGCCCAGGGGUGGUGAAGCCUGCAGAGACCCUCACCCUGACCUGCACUGUCACAGGCGACUCCAUCACCACCAGGGGUUACGGUUGGAGCUGGAUCCGGCAGCCUCCUGGGAAAGGGCUGGAGUGGAUGGGGUACAUAGCUGGAAGCAGUGAUAGCACAGGCUACAACCCAUCCCUCAAGAGCCGCAUCACCAUUUCCAAGGACAACUCCAAGAACCAGUUCUCCCUGCAGCUGCGCUCUCUGACAGCCGCAGACACCGCCACGUAUUACUGUGCCAGAGGCAACAGCUACACACUGGUUGAGUCUGGCCCAGGGGUGGUGAAGCCUGCAGAGACCCUCACCCUGACCUGCACUGUCACAGGUUCCUCCAUCAGUGGUGGUUACGGUUGGAGCUGGAUCCGGCAGCCUCCUGGGAAAGGGCUGGAGUGGAUGGUGAACAUAUAUGGAUACAGUGAUACCACAAACUACAACCCAUCCCUCAAGAGUCGCAUCACCAUUUCCAAGGACACCUCCAAGAACCAGUUCUCCCUGCAGCUGCGCUCUCUGACAGCCGCAGACACCGCCACGUAUUACUGUGCCAGAGACACAGUGACACAGAGCAGAGCAGGGGCUGCAUAAAAAGGGGAAGCCUGUUCUUCUUAAUGUAGCAAAAUUACAACUGCCCAGACAAGGAAUUUUCCACCUGAAAACCUCACACACAUGGAGGGAAAUUCUCAUAGGAUCAUCCUUGGCCAUCUGAGGGUUGUUAUAAUUGGACUUAUAACAUUGCAGACAGCAAAGGCCUGAGAGCUUCGCUGGGCAUUUGACAAAACAUAGG
Non-coding RNA from Alligator mississippiensis (American alligator), 929 nucleotides. NCBI's taxonomy places the organism in Eukaryota, Metazoa, Chordata, Crocodylia, Alligatoridae. The record is from the annotation of a RefSeq genome assembly.